CAGUAGCCGCGGUAAUACGUAGGGUGCGAGCGUUAAUCGGAAUUACUGGGCGUAAAGCGUGCGCAGGCGGUUAUAUAAGACAGAUGUGAAAUCCCCGGGCUCAACCUGGGACCUGCAUUUGUGACUGUAUAGCUAGAGUACGGUAGAGGGGGAUGGAAUUCCGCGUGUAGCAGUGAAAUGCGUAGAUAUGCGGAGGAACACCGAUGGCGAAGGCAAUCCCCCGGACCUGUACUGACGCUCAUGCACGAAAGCGUGGGGAGCAAACAGGAUUAGAUACCCGUGUAGUCCCUGUCUCUUAUAC
This 301-nucleotide ribosomal RNA is filed under the name uncultured bacterium. RNAcentral's name for it is "partial 16S ribosomal RNA". It matches the Rfam family "Bacterial small subunit ribosomal RNA", at positions 509 to 807 of the family's 1533-position model. The record is from RNAcentral.